GCCAGCGCCCUUCCUGCUUGUGAUUCACUUUGUUUUCACUUCAAUUUUAGAGAGAAGACAGUGUUGCUGUUAUAAUGGCCACGGUUACUCCUUAUCUUGUUUUGUUUUCGCUCUUGCUGCUGCAAUGCCAAGGGGAACCAAUUUUCGCACCAGUUUUCAGAUUUGGAUGGGGUACCUACAGAGAUUUUGAAAAGGCUCAUUAUCGGAUGGAGUGUGAGGACCGCGGCUAUCGAAUCGACAUGCUUGGCAAGUGUCGCAAAAUCUUGGAUUGUAAGAAGACAACAAACAGCCUGCAUAAAAUACUCCAUUUUUUUCUUUUUCAGGGCAUCCGGUACAAAAUUAGUAAAUAAGCUAUUUAUUUGAGCACACCGCACCUGGGACAUGUCAUUAGAGCAAAUAAAAUACCAUUCUGCUUUCUCGGAGAGGAUUUGUUUGAUUUAAUUGCUCUCACAGCCCCAAAUAAACAUUUAUUAUAAAAGUGAAAAAUUUAUAUUUUUAAAUAAAAAUGCGAUUUUAAAAUACUUUCUCUCGCGAAAAAUUGCAUAAACUUAAAAAGAAUAGCCUAGAUUAUUGAAAAACUUUAAUGGCAAUAAAAAUAUCUACUUUUAUUAAUAUCACGUGUUAAACUGAUAAAAAAUAAUAAUUUUCUUUAGGUGAGGAGGAAAAAAUAAAGUAAAAAUUGGUUUCUCCCAUUGAAACAUAUGAUGUGGUAAUAAAAGUUAAAAAUAUUUAACAUGGUUUGAUAAACACAUCCUUUCCCUUCUUUGUAAACCAUUUUGGUUAAAAGAGCUUCCUUUCUCAAACUUCUCUGUCCCAGUUUAUUGAAAGCAAUGUGUUCGUCCACUGCUUCCUUUUUCCUUUUUCUCGCCACCGUUUUAGGGCAGUUAUUGAUACCAGGCGCUCCCAACGCAGAAAACGUUCCUCUUAGUGUUUCAGAUCCGCCAGCAUGCCCUACUGGCCAAGUAUUUGACCCCAGGUCAAAAACAUGUCGAGUUAUAACUGAAGACGACGGAGAAAGCUCAUCAAGCAAUAUUAAACAUGCAGAGGUCACACAAAAUUGUCCAGAAGGACAAAUUUUUAAUGAGGAGUCAAACGGAUGCGUGCAACAAAUAGCAAGCAGACUAGGAAUGGAUGUAAUAGAGGUUUCUCCUGAGUCGAUAGGUGAUAUUCCAAUCAGAGAUUGUCCCGAGGGGCAGGUAUUGAUCCCACAUUUGAACACUUGUAGACCUGUUGUAGGAUCCCAAGGUGACGAGCUAUAGGCCGAAUAAAAUUGUAUUUCUAGGAGAAAGAAGAAAAUUUAGAUAAAUACGAUCAUGGUUUUAUCUAUCUAGUUUUUUCCAUAACGAGAAUUGUAAAAAUGCAUUAUUCUUGUUUUGGUAUUUGUUGAUAACUUCAAUUUUUUGCUCCAGUUUGAAAAUAAAAAUAUGAUGCUUAAUAAAUCUAGACACAAAUAGGGAGUUUUGCUAUUUCUUCCCUUUACCUUUUCAUAAUUAGAAAAUUAAUUGUGUAGGAAAAAUAAGAAACUUUAUUAAAUUUAUGAGUGAGGAUAAUUCAUUCAUUCAUUAAAUUAAGGAUUCGCAUAAAUUAAACUAACUGUGAGGUAUGCCAGCUAUUUUAAUAAUUGAAUCUUGUAUGCGAUUUUAUCAAAAUAAAUUGUUAAAUAUAAUGAAACGAAAUCCAUCAUUUUCUCGAACAUUUUUGCAUUUGUUCCUACUAAAAUUCCUAAAUAUACAGUUUUACAUUUGGAAAAAUAUAUUGUGUAAAUUUCAUCUCUAUGUUUGUGUUAAGGAAAGGAUUGGGGAUAAGCGUAUAAUUAUCUAGUUCCGGCAGCCAAGUGAAGGUCAUUAAACCAGUUCUGCCGAAGAUGAAGAGCAGUCUGCCGCUUCAGGGUUCAGCGCCAGUCUGCCCGCACAGAUGGGCCAGGCAACUCAAGCGCAGGUGUGCCUGCUGCUGGUGGGCCUGGUGCUCGCCGCGGCCGCUCUCCUCAACUCAGCCUGCCUUUUCCUCAACUGCAGACAGCAGCCCUUCGUAAAGGAGGGGGAUGCUGCAGGGGUGGCUCCAGUGAGGGUAGAGAAAGGACUGAGGAGAGCGGCACAGCGCCCAGACGUAAGGAUCAUUUGCCGCAAGCCGUUGGUGGAGAUCGCAGGAACAUGCCAGCUUCCCAAUUUGGAGCAAAACUUGCGGAAGGAGGCAAUUGACCUCAACUCGUUGGUAAUUAGGACUGUGAAGAACAGGUGGAAUAAAACAUCAUUCAACCUGAUCAUUGAAGACUCAAAAUACUAGCGUAAUUUUAAAUAUUAUUGAACGUUCUUAAGCCAAUAUAAUGGUUUAGAAUCUUGGACUGUUAUUUGUUACUUUUAAAUAAAAUGGACUUAAAAUGUA
This is an RNA transcript of Cloeon dipterum, 2382 nucleotides long. RefSeq lists it as uncharacterized. The record is from RefSeq and is a predicted model, not a curated record. The transcript is spliced from 5 exons. Lineage: Eukaryota; Metazoa; Arthropoda; Insecta; Ephemeroptera; Baetidae.